This 1314-nucleotide long non-coding RNA is filed under the name Cyanistes caeruleus (blue tit). RNAcentral's name for it is "lncRNA (ENSCCEG00000007725.1)". Lineage: Eukaryota; Metazoa; Chordata; Aves; Passeriformes; Paridae. The record is from RNAcentral.
AUGGAGCCGCCGCCGCUGACCCGGGAAGUUCCGCCCCUGCCGGCGGCCGCGGCCCCUCCUCUUCCUCUUCAUCAUCAUCUUCAUCAUCCUCAUCAUCUUCAUCUCCUCCUUCUCCUCCUCUUCAUCAUCAUCUUCAUCAUCCUCAUCAUCAUCCUGCUCUUCUCCUCCUUCUCCUCCUUCUCAUCAUCUUCAUCAUCAUCAUCUUCACCUCCUCCUUCUCCUCCUCUUCCUCAUCAUCUUCAUCAUCCUCAUCAUCAUCUUCAUCUCCUCCUUCUCAUCAUCUUCAUCAUCCUCAUCAUCUUCAUCUCCUCCUUCUCCUCCUCUUCCUCUGCAUCAUCAUCUUCAUCAUCUUCAUCCUGCUCUUCUCCCCCUCCUCCUUCUCCCCCUCUUCCUCCUCCUCCUCCUCAUCUUUAUCUUGCUCUUCUCCUCCUCGUCUUCCUCAUCAUCUUCAUCUUCUCCUCUUCCUCCUCUUCCUCUUCAUUAUCAUCUUCUUCAUCCUCAUCCUGCUCUCCUCCUCUUCCUCCUCCUCAUCUUCUUCUCUUCCUCUUCAUCAUCAUCUUCAUCAUCAUCCUGCUCUUCUCCUCCUCGUCUUCCUCGUCAUCUCCUUCUCCUCCUCCUCCUCAUCUUCAUCCUCAUCUUCUCCUCACCCUCUUCAUCAUCAUCUUCAUCCUCAUCCUGCUCUCCUCCUCCUCUUCCUCAUCAUCAUCUUCAUCCUGCUCUUCUCCUCCUCCUCCUCCUCAUCUUCAUCUUUUCCUCCUUCUCCUCCUCCUCAUCUUCCUCCUCAUCUUCCUCCUCAUCAUCAUCUUCAUCCUGCUCUUCUGCUCCUCCUCAUCUUUAUCUCCUCCUCCUCCUCAUCUUCAUCCUCCUCAUCUUCAUCCUCCUCCCAUUCUCCAUCUUCAUCCUCAGCCAGCUUUUCUCCUCCUCCUCCUCCUCUUCAUCUUCACCUUCCUCUCCUCCUCCUCCUCUUCUUCAUCCCCAUCCCGCUCUCCUCUUCCUCCUCUUCAUCUUCAUCCUCCUCUUCAUCCCCACACCACUCUCCUCCUCCUCCUCCUCUUCUUCAUCUCGAUCCCGCUCUCCUCCUCAUCUUCAUCCCCAUCUUCAUCCUCAUCCUUCUCUUCUUCAUCCCCAUCUCUUCCUCCUCCUCUUCAUCUUCAUCCUCCUCUUCCUCAUCCCCAUCCUCGUCUCCUCCUCAUCUUCAUCCCCAUCCCUUCCUCCUCCUCCUCCUCCUCUUCCUCCUCCUCCUCCUCCUCCUCUGGGCAGCUCCGAGUGGGGCACGAGGGAAGCACAAAAGGCGUUGAAGGCCCAAAGAAAUGA